RNAcentral lists this ribosomal RNA (1035 nucleotides) under Pithecopus gonzagai. RNAcentral describes it as "partial large subunit ribosomal RNA". It matches the Rfam family "Bacterial large subunit ribosomal RNA", at positions 815 to 2541 of the family's 2925-position model. Lineage: Eukaryota; Metazoa; Chordata; Amphibia; Anura; Hylidae. The record is from RNAcentral.
GUAGAGGUGACAGACCUAACGAGCUUAGUGAUAGCUGGUUACUUAAGAAAAGGAUCUUAGUCCUCCCCAAAUUUUUUACAAUAUUUAUAAAUAAAAACUAAAAUUUGGAGUUAUUCAAAUAAGGUACAGCCUAUUUGAACCAGGAUACAACCUCCUCAAACGGGUAAUUAAAUCCAUAUACAGCAAAGUAGGCCUAAAAGCAGCCAUCUUCAAAAAGCGUCAAAGCUUAUCUUCAAAUUUUCAUAAUCCCCCUAAUUUUUAAAACCCCUUAAUCUUUAUUAAGUAACUCUAUAAAAUUAUAGUAUUUAUUAUGUUAAAACUAGUAACGAGAAUCAGAACUUCUCUUUAAUGUAAGUGUAAAUCAGAAUGGACAAACCACUGAUUUUUAACACUUGAAACCAAAGUAACAACCCACCAAGAAAAUCUUACCUCAAAUAGUGUUAACCUGACACAAGAACAUUCUCAGACAGAUUGAAAGGAAAAGAAGGAACUCGGCAAACAUUAACCCCGCCUGUUUACCAAAAACAUCGCCUCUUGAUAAACAUAUAAGAGGUCCAGCCUGCCCAGUGACUCUGUUCAACGGCCGCGGUAUCCUAACCGUGCGAAGGUAGCGUAAUCACUUGUUCUUUAAAUGAGGACUAGUAUGAAUGGCAUCACGAGGGUUAUACUGUCUCCUUUCCCCAAUCAGUGAAACUAAUCUCCUCGUGAAGAAGCGAGGAUAAAUAUAUAAGACGAGAAGACCCUAUGGAGCUUAAAACUUUCAGCAAUUAUCUUUUCUAUAACAACCUUAAGGUUAUUACAUCAACUCUAAUAAUAUGCCUGUCAGUUUUCGGUUGGGGUGACCGCGGAGUAAAACUUACCCUCCGCAAUGAAUAUUAACAAUUAAGCAAAAAACUACAAUUUUAUGCAUCAAAAAAUUGACAGUAUUGACCCAACACUUUGAUCAACGAACCAAGUUACCCUAGGGAUAACAGCGCAAUCCAUCUCAAGAGCUCAUAUCGACAGAUGGGUUUACGACCUCGAUGUUGGAUCAGG